This 142-nucleotide ribosomal RNA is filed under the name Staphylococcus haemolyticus. Its description in RNAcentral is "partial 23S ribosomal RNA". It matches the Rfam family "Bacterial large subunit ribosomal RNA", at positions 2781 to 2925 of the family's 2925-position model. Lineage: Bacteria; Bacillati; Bacillota; Bacilli; Caryophanales; Staphylococcaceae. The record is from RNAcentral.
CUAAGCAUGAAGCCCCCCUCAAGAUGAGAUUUCCCAACUUCGGUUAUAAGAUCCCUCAAAGAUGAUGAGGUUAAUAGGUUCGAGGUGGAAGCGUGGUGACACAUGGAGCUGACGAAUACUAAUCGAUCGAAGACUUAAUCAA